Molecule: ribosomal RNA, 563 nt
Filed under: uncultured bacterium
Lineage: Bacteria
Description: bacterial SSU rRNA
Rfam family: Bacterial small subunit ribosomal RNA
Source: RNAcentral
CCUACGGGAGGCAGCAGUGGGGAAUAUUGCGCAAUGGGCGAAAGCCUGACGCAGCGACGCCGCGUGGGGGACGACGGUCUUCGGAUUGUAAACCCCUUUUGGGUGGGACGAGGAAGGACGGUACCACCUGAAGAAGCCCCGGCUAACUACGUGCCAGCAGCCGCGGUAAUACGUAGGGGGCGAGCGUUGUCCGGAUUUACUGGGCGUAAAGAGCGCGUAGGCGGUCGGGUAGGUUGGGGGUGAAAGGUGCGGGCUUAACCCGCACACGUCUCCCAAGACCGCUCGACUGUGAGGGCAGUAGAGGAAGGUGGAAUUCCGGGUGUAGUGGUGAAAUGCGUAGAGAUCCGGAGGAACACCGGUGGCGAAGGCGGCCUUCUGGGCUGUCCCUGACGCUGAGGCGCGAAAGCGUGGGGAGCGAACUGAAUUAGAUACUCAGGUAGUCCACGCCCUCAACGAUGGACACUAGGUGUGGGGGGUAUCGACCCCUCCCGUGCCGGAGCUAACGCAGUAAGUGUCCCGCCUGGGGAGUACGGCCGCAAGGCUAAAACUCAAAGGAAUUGACG